UGCCAGCCGCCGCGGUAAUACGGAGGGAGCAAACGUUGUUCGGAUUUACUGGGCGUAAAGGGCGUGUAGGCGGCUUUGUAAGUCAGGGGUGAAAUGUCUCGGCUCAACCGAGGACCUGCCUUUGAAACUACAGAGCUUGAGGCCGUGAGAGGAGACUGGAAUUCCUAGUGUAGCGGUGAAAUGCAUAGAUAUUAGGAAGAACACCAGUGGCGAAGGCGAGUCUCUGGCACGGUUCUGACGCUGAGGCGCGAAAGCCAGGGGAGCGAACGGGAUUAGAUA
Molecule: ribosomal RNA, 279 nt
Filed under: uncultured bacterium
Lineage: Bacteria
Description: partial 16S ribosomal RNA
Rfam family: Bacterial small subunit ribosomal RNA
Source: RNAcentral